GAUGAAGAACGCAGCGAAAUGCGAUAAGUAGUGUGAAUUGCAGAACUCAGUGAAUCAUCGAAUCUUUGAACGCACAUUGCGCCCCUUGGUAUCCCGAGGGGCAUGCCUGUUCGAGCGUCAUUUCACCACUCAAGCCUGGCUUGGUGUUGGGCGACGUCCCCUUUGGGGACGCGCCUCGAAACGCUCGGCGGCGUGGCACCGGCUUUAAGCGUAGCAGAAUCUUUCGCUUUGGAAGUCGGGGCCCCGUCUGCCGGAAGACCUACUCGCAAGGUUGACCUCGGAUCAGGCAGGGAUACCCGCUGAACUUAAGCAUAUCAAUAAGCGGAGGA
Molecule: unclassified non-coding RNA, 329 nt
Filed under: soil metagenome
Description: partial contains 5.8S ribosomal RNA, internal transcribed spacer 2, and large subunit ribosomal RNA
Rfam family: 5.8S ribosomal RNA (bases 1-120)
Source: RNAcentral